UGAAUACGAGAUGCUACGGCGUCGAAGCAGUCUAUGUCAUACUUCCAAGAAAAGCUCGCACUGUCAUAAACAAAUAAUGCCUGUACCAUAACCGACACAGGUGGGUAGGUAGAGUAUACUAAGGGGCGCGAGAUAACUCUCUCUAAGGAACUCGGCAAAAUGACUCCGUAACUUCGGGAGAAGGAGUGCCUUAUUUAUAAGGUUGCAAUAACAAGAUCCAAGCAACUGUUUAUCAAAAACACAGGUCUCCGCUAAGUCGUAAGACGAUGUAUGGGGGCUGACGCCUGCCCAGUGCCAGAAGGUUAAAGAAGUUGGUUAGCAUUCGCGAAGUUGAUAACUGAAGCCCUGGUGAACGGCGGCCGUAACAAUAACGGUCCUAAGGUAGCGAAAUUCCUUGUCGGGUAAGUUCCGACCCGCACGAAAGGCGUAAUGAUUAGGAUACUGUCUCGGAGAGGGGCUCGGUGAAAUAGACUUGUCUGUGAAGAUGCGGACUACCUGCACCAGGACAGAAAGACCCUAUGAAGCUUUACUGUAACUUGAGAUUGAAAUUGGACUUUACUUGCGCAGUAUAGGUGGGAGGCGUUGAUAAUAUUCUUGCGGGAUUAUUUGAGCCAUCAGUGAGAUACCACUCUUGUAAUGUUAGAUUUCUAACUUUGUAUCAUUAUCUGGUCAAAGGACAGUUUCAGGCGGGCAGUUUGACUGGGGCGGUCGCCUCCUAAACGGUAACGGAGGCGCACAAAGGUUUCCUCUGAACGGGUAGAAAUCGUAUCUAGAGUGUAAAGGCAUAAGGAAGCUUGACUGUGAGACCUACAAGUCGAGCAGGGACGAAAGUCGGUCUUAGUGAUCUGACGGUGCUGAGUGGAAAGGCCGUCACUCAACGGAUAAAAGUUACUCUAAGGAUAACAGGCUGAUCUCCCCCAAGAGUUCACAUCGACGGGGAGGUUUGGCACCUCGAUGUCGGCUCAUCGCAUCCUGGGGCGGUAGUACGUCCCAAGGGUUGGGCUGUUCGCCCAUGAAAGCGGUACGCGAGCUGGGUUCAGAACGUCGUGAGACAGUUCGGUCCAUAUCCGGUGUAGGCGUUAGAAUAUUGAGAGGAGCCUUCUUUAGUACGAGAGGACCGAGAAGGACAUACCUCUGGUGUACCAGUUAUCGUGCCAACGGUAAACGCUGGGUAGCUAUGUAUGGAGUGGAUAACCGCUGAAAGCAUCUAAGUGGGAAGCCCACCUCAAGAUAAGUAUUCUC
RNAcentral lists this ribosomal RNA (1242 nucleotides) under metagenome. RNAcentral's name for it is "bacterial LSU rRNA". It matches the Rfam family "Bacterial large subunit ribosomal RNA", at positions 1564 to 2815 of the family's 2925-position model. The record is from RNAcentral.